RNAcentral lists this ribosomal RNA (217 nucleotides) under Glomeromycotina sp. RNAcentral's name for it is "partial small subunit ribosomal RNA". The stretch from base 40 to 217 matches the Rfam family "Eukaryotic small subunit ribosomal RNA", at positions 686 to 864 of the family's 1831-position model. Lineage: Eukaryota; Fungi; Glomeromycota. The record is from RNAcentral.
GGGUCAGUAGGUUGGUCGUGCCACCGGUACGUACUGGUCUCACUGAUUCCUCCUUCCUGAAGAGCCGUAAUGCCAUUAAUUUGGUGUUGCGGGGAAACAGGACUGUUACUUUGGAAAAAAUUAGAGUGUUUAAAGCAAGCUAACGCUUGAAUACAUUAGCAUGGAAUAAUGAAAUAGGACGAUCGAUCCUAUUUUGUUGGUUUCUAGGAUUGACGUA